RNAcentral lists this long non-coding RNA (650 nucleotides) under Equus caballus (horse). Its description in RNAcentral is "lncRNA (ENSECAG00000059242.1)". The record is from RNAcentral. Lineage: Eukaryota; Metazoa; Chordata; Mammalia; Perissodactyla; Equidae.
AGAGCAGAUGCUCCCUUCAGAAGCCUAUGCAGUGGGGAGGGAUCCGCAAAGAGACAUCGAAUAGAACUCACCUGGCGCUCCUCAAUAAAACAAGCAUUUCACUGCCCACCACGGAGAGAAUGUUUUUGGCUGAGGGAAGACUACGUCUGCACAAGCUCUUUGUUAAAGUUCUCACUGAGUUCAUCCAUUCUUCUCCCAAGAUCGGCCAGUGGAAUCUGUUCUACACAAGUUAUAUCAAAGUCACAAUGUGUGAUCAUCCCCAAAUGCAGUGCAUUCAAACUUGCAGAUUUUAUGAACGCCCCCAUAUUCAUAUAAUCAGUUUCAUGGAACAUUGAUGGCUCUUUAUUUCUCAUUACAAGGACUUCUGACAAUAUUUGAAAUACAAGGGAUGGUUGAAAGAAACAAACUGAAAAAUAAGCAAAACAUCGUAAUGAGAUACUACCACACAUAUACCGGAAUGGCUACAAAGUAAAAAGAGUGACAAAUGUUGCAAGGACGUGGAGUAACCUGAACCCUCACAUGUUGUUGGUGGGAGGGAAAAUGGUACAACUGCUCUGGGGAAAGGUGUGACAAUUUCUCUUAAAACUAAACAUGUACCUACACUAUGACCUGGCAAUUCUACUCCUGGAUAUUUUCCCAAGAGAAAUAAA